This 501-nucleotide ribosomal RNA is filed under the name uncultured bacterium. RNAcentral describes it as "bacterial SSU rRNA". It matches the Rfam family "Bacterial small subunit ribosomal RNA", at positions 29 to 524 of the family's 1533-position model. The record is from RNAcentral.
AACGAACGCUGGCGGCGCGCCUAAUACAUGCAAGUCGAGCGAGAAGACGUAGCAAUACGUUUGUAAAGCGGCGAACGGGUGAGGAAUACAUGGGUAACCUACCCUCGAGUGGGGAAUAACUAGCCGAAAGGUUAGCUAACACCGCGUACGCUCCUUGGACUUCGGUUCAGGGAGGAAAGCGAUACCGUGGGUAUCGCGCUCUUGGAUGGGCUCAUGUCCUAUCAGCUUGUUGGGAGGUAACGGCUCACCAAGGCUUCGACGGGUAGCUGGUCUGAGAGGACGAUCAGCCACACUGGCACUGCGACACGGGCCAGACUCCUACGGGAGGCAGCAGUAAGGAAUAUUGCGCAAUGGGCGAAAGCCUGACGCAGCGACGCCGCGUGGGGGAUGAAGGUCUUCGGAUUGUAAACCCCUUUCGGGAGGGAAGAUGGAACGAGCAAUCGUUCGGACGGUACCUCCAGAAGCAGCCACGGCUAACUUCGUGACAGCAGCCGCCGUAAU